This 447-nucleotide ribosomal RNA is filed under the name uncultured bacterium. RNAcentral's name for it is "bacterial SSU rRNA". It matches the Rfam family "Bacterial small subunit ribosomal RNA", at positions 329 to 793 of the family's 1533-position model. The record is from RNAcentral.
UACCAGACUCCUACGGGAGGCAGCAGUGGGGAAUAUUGCACAAUGGGGGAAACCCUGAUGCAGCGACGCCGCGUGAGCGAUGAAGUAUUUCGGUAUGUAAAGCUCUCUCAGCAGGGAAGAAAAUGACGGUACCUGACUAAGAAGCCCCGGCUAACUACGUGCCAGCAGCCGCGGUAAUACGUAGGGGGCAAGCGUUAUCCGGAUUUACUGGGUGUAAAGGGAGCGUAGACGGCCAUUCAAGCCAGAUGUGAAAGCCCGGGGCUCAACCCCGGGACUGCAUUUGGAACUGUGUGGCUAGAGUGUCGGAGAGGCAGGCGGAAUUCCUAGUGUAGCGGUGAAAUGCGUAGAUAUCAGGAGGAACACCGGCGGCGAAGGCGGCCUGCUGGACCGUGACUGACGUUGAGGCUCGAGAGCGUGGGGAGCAAACAGGAUUAGAUACCCUGGUAG